Molecule: long non-coding RNA, 3664 nt
Organism: Vitis vinifera (wine grape)
Lineage: Eukaryota; Viridiplantae; Streptophyta; Magnoliopsida; Vitales; Vitaceae
Exons: 4
Source: RefSeq, a predicted model, not a curated record
CCUAAAUCCUUGCUCUCUCUCAACUCUUUUCUUCUGUUCUCCUCUCUAUGUCCUUAUUGUCCUCAGGUUCUCACCUUCUCAUUCCAAACUAUUUUUUUUUCCUGGUAGCAUGGAAAGUGAAAGAAACUGGAGGUAGGAAGACGAGGCUCUUGUGUCUCAUCUAUGGUGGUAUCUUCCUGGAGUGGAAUCUAGGGCGCGGCGGAAGCCAUACGCUUGAAAGAAGGGGAAGUGAAAGGCGGAGGACUUUUGGGUUUUAUUGGCCGAGAAGCAAGGGCACGGUGUCUCUCCAUGGAUUUGGUUCGGUCUCGGUGUGGAAGCCCGGGGAAUCAGCUUUGUGGAUAGUGGUUUUGUGGUUGUGGGAUUUUGGAAACCCUAGAUUUGGUUCAGGGUAGGGUUGUGUGGUUGACUGAUUAGGUUGGGAGCUGGGCUGCGCAUGCGAUUGACUGGGUUUUCAUGUCGUCAAAACCACUGCCUUGGGAUCGGAAGGACUUCUUCAAGGAGAGGAAGCACGAGAGGUCGGAGUCUUUAGGUUUGCUGCAAGAUAGAGGGACUCACAUCAAGUUUCUUGGGAGUUUGCUCGUUGGGAUCGGCAGAUUUUCGCCGCCCUACAGGACAGUUGGGAAUUCAUAGGAAGAUUUGUCCAGAGAUGGUUAUUAUCUUUUGGCAGAAACACUCAAAGAUGAGGGUGAGAAACAGGUUGUUCAAGCAGUUUUAGUGAAACAUAUCUGGGUUAAACUAGUCAAAGAUAACUUGUACCAUCAGGACUCUCAAAACCUUGUUGUGGAGAGGCGUGAAGAGUGACCUAUGGCGCUUGUCACUUUGAAUGCUUUUGAUCUUAUCUUGACAUCUCAGGGUCUCAACCUCGGUACUCUCUUUGAAAAGCCAAUGAUGAAACUUGAAGGGGAGAAAUUUGGAUGCAAGGGUCAUUUUGUCUAUUGCAAUAGAGGCAUUUCUCUCCUAGUUGCCUUGUUUGCAGGAUCCCCUGACCAUGAGUUCAUUGGAACAUUACCUGAAGAUGUCUCAACUGGAUGUCAAUAAUUUACUUGGACAAAUUUUUGAAGUGACCCUUUGCUAUACAUGGUCAAGCUUUGAAAAUCUGGGGGAGAUACUCUAGAAUUUCACAAGGUAUGUAUCUACUAUCUCAAUGCAAUUCUCAUAUUAAAUUAGAAUGAAUAUUGAAUUUUUAUCCCGGGCAUAUUGGUUGCCAAUAUCUUGUUUGAUGCCGAAGCCCUACCCUCUUUUAUGUAAAAAGCAUGUGUGAUAAAAUGUAGUGAUGUUUAUGCUAAAACGAGCUUCUACUACCUAUCUUUAAUUUAUUCCAAAAGUAAUUAGACCCCUAGAUAGGGGUCUCUUGGAUAUAAGGACCUUAAAUUCAAUGUAAGACCUGUAUUAAAUUGGCUCCUUAGGGAAUUGACACCCUGAACACAAUAUUAUUUUCCCAUGUUAGGAAAGCAGUCCAUUUUUCUCUAUAAAUUAUGAUUAAUAAAUUCAAUCAUUCACUAAAUUUGUCUUAUGUGCAAUUCUACAAGAACCUCUCAAUUGGGUUGAAAGAUAUUGUCUAGAAAUCAGGAGAUGAAGUAAAAGAGGAAGUGAAUAAUGGUUAGUGUGCAUUAUAACAUAGAUUAACGCAUUUUGCUUGAGUUUAAAUCAUUGUUCCUUUAAUGGCUUUUAAAUGGUGGUCAAUACUUGAAUUUAUAAAUCUAGCCAUGCAAUUGCAUAGAUAGAAAAAGAAAUCAUAUGUAGAACUUGAGAAUAUUAGAAUUUGUAUGGUUUUUGAGAAAAUUUAAACAAAAGAAAAUAAAAAUGAAACAAUUUGUCGUUUCCUAAAAAAUGAAAAAAUCUCAUUGAUGAAAUCUUAUGCAAAAAUUUGUUUAGUCCUUUCUCUUAGGGUUUGGUUCUUGCAAAGUAAUACUUAAGUUAUAUAACAACAACAUGAAUAUUCUUUAUUCCCCUGCAUAAGGUUCAUCAGUUUCUCGAGGAAACUUCAUUCUUCAGUGACAUGCAAUAAUUGUUUUUGAAAGAUGGCUACUGUAAACAUAGAAUCAAUAUGAAAGUUUAUAUACAUGUCACUUAUAAUUAGUUGCCAUAUGCUCUAACCAUCCAUUCGUUAGUGCAUGCAUGUUGCCUAUUCUUGGUCUUCACAUUUUAUAGGCAUGGAGAUGAUACUACAUUUGGCUUGUGGUUGUCUACAUGGUUUUGGAAAUUUUGGAUACGCAUGUUUGAGGCCUUUUGGUUUUGUAUGUCGUGGAAGAUACAAUUCCACCAAUGGAUUAUGACAAUGUCUUUUAAUGCAUUGCGGUCGAUAUGUCAUGGCAGGAGAGAUUACAAAAAUACAUAAAGAGGUAAAUCUAUGUUAUCUGCUAAUAAAAAUAACACCUUCUUUGUUUUGGUGGGAUUUGUGAACUAAAAGAAAUGUUUUUGACUCACUAACCUUCUACAUUUCAUACAAUGUGUCCAAGUUGGGGAAAGACCUCAUAAAGCUGACCUUGGUAAGCAGAAUGAUCUUUUUCUUGUAUGAUUCAGUCUAUAAACAUUUGGAUGUCUUUCUUGAAACCAAAAAAAUCAUCAACAAUUGAAAUCUUUUAAUUUUCCAAUCACUACAAAAUUUUAAAACCUUAAAAUGUGUGUGCGAGAACUGUUCCAUUAAGCAUUGAUUCUUUCAUUAGGAAUUAGAUCUGGCUUUUAUAGUAGAUAUAAAAGAGCUUUAGCUUUUUAAAACAUAGACAAAAAUAAAAGGAAAAAUAAAAAGUAAAACAAACCGAGUAAAUUGCAUAGGCCUAUGUGGCAAUUUUUUCAAACAGGAACUAACUAGGCCAAGUAUCUUGAACAUAUCAAUUAUUAAUUAUAAUCAAAAGUUUUGAGCUUAGAAUUUACGAAAUCCAAAAGCGUUUAAGUUAAGGAAGGUGCUACUUUUAAUGGUGCAUAUGGAUUCAUUUGAUCAGAAUGAUAGGUAAUUAUGUUCAUUAGUAGUGUGUUUGACACUAAUAUAACCAUUGGAUUGUUCUUAUGAGAUCCUUAAUUUUCUAAUUUAGAUGAUCAAGCCUCUUAACCAGCCUAUGGUAGAAUUCCACUCUUGAUUGAAGGAAAGGAAAAUUGUUGGGUUGAGGAAAAUCCAUUGGAGUUUCAAUUUGAAAAUGUACUUGGAGAUUUGGUCUCUAAGGGGUAGAGUAUUUUCUAUGAUAAUGACUUCUCAUACUUCUACAUGUUUUUUCUUGGCUAAAUUUUAGUUCAUGCAUGUGUAUUAGGCCUACAAAUAUAUCUGAUAAACAAUUCUCAGGACAAUAUUUGAAAGUUUUGAUAUUCAAUCUAAUUGCAUAGAAACUCUUUUUUAGGUUCAAACCAGGGAAUUCUCAAUUCAAGUUUUUUUAUUUAUAGAGUUUUUUUUUUCUACCAAAUUUCUUUUGUGAGGGCAUAUGUAUAUAUAAAAUAAUUGUUGAUACUUUAUUUGAAAGUUUUGAAAUUCAAUCCAAAAGCAUAAAACUCUUUUAGUUAAACCUUGUAGUCUUUUUUUUUUUUUUUUUCUUUAUGAGAAACAACAAAAUAAAAAAAGAAAGGACUAAUGGUUUCCAACAACAACACUGCCGAGAUCUGCCACUUCAAAAACCCCAUUUCCAAUUUUUCGUAGCAGAAACCCUAAUUUCCUUGCGGAAAAAUAAAAAAGAAA